RNAcentral lists this long non-coding RNA (7946 nucleotides) under Marmota monax (woodchuck). The record is from RNAcentral. Lineage: Eukaryota; Metazoa; Chordata; Mammalia; Rodentia; Sciuridae.
GCCUUGAGCAAGAAGAUGUCCUCUUUCUCCUCAGAAGCAGGUGUUGCAGCACCUCCACACUGUGCAGCUGAGGCUACAGCCCCAAGAAGCUCCUGGCACCGAAACCAGACUGCAAGAGCUGAGUGCGGCUGAAGAACUGGUGGAAGAGGAGGAGGAGGAGGCGAUGGAAGAGGCGGCAGCUAGCGUGGCCCUAGAGGCCAGUGAGCUAGAGCUCUCAGAGAGUGGUGAGGGCAGUGUGGCUGCAGCUGGCCUUGUCCCUGACUCUUGCUCUGGAUUAGGUCCUGGAUUGGUACUUUGCCUACACAGAGCCUGCUCAGGACUCACUAGCAGUCAGGCAGGCAGCCCUUGCUUUUGUGGAGGUGGACAAAGGGCUGGAAGCCUACAGGGAGGCUCUACAGGGCCAGAGCCUGGGGAGAUAGUCCAGUAGAGGCCUGUGUUGCACAUCUAGGCAGGGUGAGGUAGGGUGCAUCUCAGGGCCUUGCUGCUUCAUGCCAGAGCGAAGCACAUUCCUGGAACCCUCCAGAGGCUGGUGUGGUCAGCUGUGCAGAGGGUGGGUGUGAAGGACUGACUAGAGCAGAUCGGAAAGACUGACUUGAAAACUUCAGGGGCCUCUAGGACCACAAGUGAGUAACCCAGCAGCCAUGGGAAGUUGGGCCAGGUCUUAGAGGAAGGUCAGGUUGGACAUUGCUGGUGUGUGAGCGGUGUGGGAAGAGGUGACCAAGGACUAAAACAUAAGGGAGAACCAUUCAACAGGUAGGCAACAGAAGAUAGUGUAGAAAGAGCAGUGGCAGCAGGGAAGGAACACAAGAGAAUCUUUGAGUAUCACCAGGACCAGGAGUGGGUGGAAAGUGAGAACAGGCAGGGUACACGGCCUAACAAAGAUAUUUGAGAGGGUGGCAGAAGGUCUGGAUGGAGACUGCCCUGUAGAGCAGAGCCUGGGGGCAGGGGUGAGUGGACAGUUCCACUGAGGGAGGGCUGCAUCCCCUGUUGGCAGAGGAAUAAUGGGGCCUUGGCAGGUGAGGGGUAGCCUAGGAGCAGGGUUUGGCCCCACAGGUCUGAAUUCUGCUCUCCUGCUUAUGGCUGCUGCUGCCUCAGAGGUCAGAGGAGCCUGGGCAGGGCAGGGGUAUGUUUCUACUGCUGGCUUCUCACAGGCUCAGUCAGUUGGCUCAACUCUUCCAGAGGAUGAUGCUGACAGCCUGGCCUGGCAGCUGGAGGAGGAUGAGGAGUUUCAGGGUUGCCUAGGCCGGCGGAAGGUGAACAGGGUAAGGACCAUGUGCCCCAGUCCCUCCUGUCCUGGCAGCCGUACCCAUCCCUCACACCUCUGCCCCAAGUCAAGGCUACUCUGCCCACAGUGGAACCGUCGCAAUGAUAUGGGGGAGACCCUGCUGCACCGAGCCUGCAUUGAGGGCCAUUUGCGCCGUGUCCAGGACCUUGUGAGGCAGGUAAGCUAUCACGCCAACAGACUGCUUGACCCUAGCUCCAUUAGGGAGGAGCUAUGGGCAUAUUUAGAAUGGGCCCUAAGAUGCCAAGCAGAAUCUGGAUUGGCCUGGCCAGGAUGGGGACUGUUUUACAGACCAGAACCCUGGUGCCCUCCCUCCUACCUCAGGCCCUUCAGCUAGGCACUGUGCCUGCCCCAGGGCACCAAGUGACAUAGGCUAGAGGGUGUGCUGUGGCUGCUCAGCCAGCCUUAUUGGGCAGAAGUGGUACCCCCAUUGAGGAGACCUCAGGCAGUGGAGGAGAGGGCCAGAGCCAGGCUGCAAAGCACACAGGGCCAGGCUCCUUCCUGUCCUUGGUCACAGGGCCACCCCCUGAAUCCUCGGGACUACUGUGGCUGGACACCUCUACAUGAAGCCUGCAACUUUGGACACCUGGGUGAGCAGGGGAUGGGCAAGUCCUGGUGCACAACACGGGGUUUAGAGAGCGGGGAGGGGCUGAGCAGACAUUGGGAGCUGGGCUUAUGUCCCUACCUGCAGAGAUCGUCCGCUUCCUGCUGGACCAUGGGGCUGCAGUGGAUGAUCCAGGUGGCCAGGGGUGUGAGGGCAUUACCCCUCUACAUGACGCCCUUACCUGUGGCCACUUUGAGGUGGCUGAGCUGCUUAUUGAGCGAGGGGCAUCUGUCACCCUCCGAACCAGGAAGGUGAGCUGGAGUAGUGGUGGUGGGUGGGAGGGUGGGUGGGAGCUGCUCUGUUCCCUGCUCAUCUGGGUGCUACACAGGGCCAUAGCCCACUGGAGACACUGCAGCAGUGGGUGAAGUUGUACUGCAGGGACCUAGACCUUGAGACGCGACAGAAGGCAGCAGCCAUGGAGAGGAGGCUCCAGGCGGCUUCUUCAGGCUCAGGCAAGUGGGGCCUUCUUCACCUGCGGAAUUGCCCUGGGCUCUGGGCCCUGACUAACACUCCAGCAUAGGGGGCAGAGAGAGAGUCUGGUAACUGUCUCAUGAUGCAUUCUCCCUCCUACAGCCUCCCCAGCCUCCUGGACCAUCCCAAGUAACCACCUGUUUGAUCCUGAGACCUCUCCUCCCUCAAGCCCCUGCCCAGAACCCCCUUGGCACACUCCUAGGUCCUCAGAGGCCUCUCUAGCCUGCACCAGGGUUUCCCCACAGCAGGCUGCAUCAGUUGUGGCAAGGCCUCGAAGGAGCAGGCAUAGGUUGGCCAGCAGCAGCAGCUCAGAGGGGGAGGACAGUGCUGGGCCCCAAAUGCCAUCCCAGAAGAGGCCAAGGUGCUUUGCCCCAGCACAACGGGAUGAGGCCAGGACAGCUUGCCCUGCCAGCAUCAGGGAGGCGAGUACAGUGAGUGCUGGCCAGGCAGCCUAUCAGGCAGCCAUCCGAGGUGUGGGCAGUGCCCAGAGCCGCUGCCUCAGGCAGGGCCCUUGGGGCCCAGGUGAAGCCCCUACACCCCAGACAGCACUCAUUCCGGAGGAGGAAUACCUGGCUGGAGACUGGCUGGAAUUGGACACACCCCUGCCCCGCAGCCGCCCAUUCCGCCUGCCCCGCCCCCAGGGCAGUGGGGACAGCAACAGGCCCAGUACUGUAGGGCCAGACGAUGAGGAACACCCUGCCAGGCCCCGAACCCGGACCAGGCAGAGCCGCCUGACCUGUCUUGAGAGUUGCAGCACACUGGACAGAGCUGGAGGCAGCAGCUUGGCUGCAGAGCUCUCAGAGAAUCCCAAUGUGCUCAGGGUCCCUGGGGAAAGCCCUGCAACAGGCCAGCCCUCGGUGGGUGACAAGCUGGUAGCAGAGCUAACCCCCAGCUUGGGCAGGUGGAGAUGGAGGCCUCUGUCUUUCCUGACUGCCCUGUCCCCUGUUCCUCCUAUCAGGGUCUAGUACAGCCUCCUCCCAUCCGGAUUCGAGUUCAAGUUCAGGAUAACCUUUUCCUUGUCCCUGUCCCACACAGGUAUGGUGACAUCUACCCUCUCUGAACCCCAGUCCCCCCUGCCCACCAUGCAGCCCCUUGCCUGAACCCUCAGUGGUAGCACCGUACACAGUUCCUUUGUGAUGACUGCCUCGGUGGCGUGUCCCUACUGUUCCCUAGGGUCCCUGAGUGAAUGUGGCCUGGGCAGUCCUAUAGUCCCUAGGAGUCGUCUGAGGAGCAGGCUGCAGGGACAGAAGGCUGCUGUUCAGGGGAGGGGUGGGAAAGCCACCAGGAGAGAGGGCUGCAGGCCUCAGCAGUGUUGGCAGAGCCCUAGGCCACCUCCUGGAUGCAGCAGCCCACCCUCCCCCAACAGUGAGGCCCACUCUGUGGCUUGGCUGGCUGAGCAGGCCUCCCAGCGAUACUACCAGACCUGUGGGCUCCUGCCCAGACUCAGCCUGCGGAAGGAGGGCGCGUUGCUGGCCCCGCAGGACUCCAUCCCUGAUGUGCUGCAGAGCAACGAUGAGGUAAGCCACAGCCGUGGGCACAGACCACCCCCAGGAGCUGCCUCUCCAGGCUGCUCACCAAUGGAGCUCACCAACGGUGCUCUUCAGGUGUUGGCUGAAGUGACUUCAUGGGACCUGCCCCCACUUAUCGACCGCUACCGCAGGGCCUGCCAGAGCCUGGGACAAGGUAAGGGCUCCAAGAGCCUGGCUUUAGGUGAAGCCCUGAGCAGAGGUGUUUGGUAUGCAGGCCCCAUCUUCCAGUUGCCAUUUCCAGUUCUGUGGUGCACCCUUCCCUGCCUAACCCUUGCCCCCACGAGUGGGUGACAGGUGGGGGCAGACAACCCUGAGCUGAGGAACGGAGCUGCCAGGAACCUUGUUGGGGGAUGGAGAUGUGAGAGUGGCCCACCUAUGCAGAUACUCAUGGCACUGAAUCCCAGGCUUGUAGGAAUAGACUCAGCUUUAACUCCUGGGGCUGCCUGGUUUGUCCACAGAACUCCAAAGGCAAGAUGUAGGCACUGGCCCUAGUAACCCCAUGUCUCCCUCAUCAGGGGAACACCAACAGGUGCUGCAGGCCAUGGAGCACCAGGGCUCAAGCCCCUCCUUCAGUGCCUGCUCCCUGGCCCUGAGCCAGGCCCAGCUCACACCCCUGCUUCGAGCCCUCAAGCUACACACAACGCUCCGGGAGCUGCACCUGGCAGGGAAUCGGCUCGGGGAUGGAUGUGCCAGUGAGCUGCUGGCUGCUCUGAGCACCAUGCCCAGCCUGGUCCUCCUUGAUCUUUCGUCUAAUCACCUGGGCCAGGAAAGUCUACGCCAACUUGCCGGGGGCCCUCAAGGCCAGGCCACCUUGCAGGUAGAGCCUAGGGUGCAGCAGGCCAGCAACUCUAGUAACAGGUUGCAACAGCUGGGAGAACUGGCCAAUGCCCAGCCGGGAACAGGGAUCCUGCAAGGAGACUAGACCUGAGGGGACUGGGCCCAUGGAUGUCAAGGGGCUCAGUGCUCACCAUGUUUUCCACAGAACUUGGAAGAGCUGGACUUAAGCAUGAACCCUCUAGGAGACAGUUGUGGUCAGGCCCUGGCUUCCCUCCUGCGGGCCUGCCCCUUACUCAGCACUCUGCGCCUGAAGGCUUGUGGCUUUGGUCCCAGCCUCUUCCUGAGCCACCAGGCAGCCCUGGGCAGUGCCUUCCAAGGUGAGCUGACCAGGCAGGUCUAAUCCCUGAGCCAGGUGUGGAGGCAUUAAGGGUCUUGGGCAUAAGGACCAAGAUGGGAUUUGCUUGGGAUUUCAAGCCUGGCUUCUUCAGGAGGAGCUAACUCCUCUGAACGCACAGGUAGACGUGUGAGUGCUGGACCUGUCUGGGCUGUGCUCCCAGACCACAGCACACUACAGGCAGGAUCCCAGGCAGGCCAUCUCUGCCCUGAACCCCACCACAUGCCUAUGGCUAGAGCCUUCUGCGUGCCUCAGUUCUGCCAUGAGCAUAACUGGCAGCCCUAGUGCCAAGAGGCUGGGAAUAGAGCCACCUAGGGAUCCCUGGGGCAGGGGCUAUGUUGGGCAACAGUGGUGUGAGUUCCUCCUGAUCCCCCCACAGAUAUGCUGGCCCAGGGCCCAUCUCCAGCAGCCAGGGAUUGGUGGGUGGGGAAGGCUGGGCUCAAGAGAACUUGGGCAAGAGCCGUUGCCAAUAAACCUGUUUCCCCCACAAAAUUAAUGGAGAAGAGCCUCUCCAAAAGGGGUCAUAAGUGUUCUAGGCCCAGAACUCAGGGUGGAGGGUGGGUAGGAUGGUGGCCACAUGAGGCCUACAAAUUCUGGUCCUGGUACAGAUGCUGAGCGCUUGAAGACCCUGUCCUUAUCCUACAAUGCCCUGGGUGCCAUUGCCCUGACCAAGGCCCUGCAAAGCCUGCCCACCUGUACUCUUUUGCACCUAGAACUUGGCUCCGUGGCAACCAGCAAGAGUGACUUGGGCUUCAUGGAGCCCAUUGUCAGGUACCUGGCCAAGGUAUGAGGUGGACAAAAGCCAGAACAUGAGGCUUCAGAGACCAAAGGUUCCCAUAGCUGUGACCUUUGGGAGGUUGGAGGGAUUGAUUUGGGACAACAGCUGCAGGACACCUGUAUAGACACCUGCCUCAGGCUAUGAAUUCCUGGCCACCAUAAAGGACAUCUGGGAUUUGGGAUGGCCUCUCUACCCCAAACAGUUCCCAAGGAACACACCAAGCCCCUGUGUUUUCUCCCAGGGACUUUUCCAGCUGGGGCCGAGUCCUUGUGGUUUUCACAUCACAAGGAGCCAAGCAUGACUUACACCAGGAAGGAGAAGAAUUUUCUUCUCACUUCCAAGUUCAGGGGCUUCCUGGGUGUGGGGACCUCUGCCAGGACGGAGGGAGGACCAGUGCCCACUGGGCUUGGCUCCCUCCCUGUGCUUAUGUCCAGGAAGACUGUGCUCUGGUCCACCUGACCCUGUCUGCAAAUUACCUGAAUGACAAAGCUGUGAGAGAACUAAGCAGGUGAUGCCCCUGCCCUGUUGCCUGUUGGGGGUCUCAGCCUGAAGACCUGGGACCCUGUUCCUCUGACAUUCACCCUGUCUUUAGGGCUGGCCUGGCAAGCAUGCUAAAGGUUUUUUUUUUUUUUUUUUUUUUUUACCAUACUCUUGUGACUCUUGAGAGCUUUCCUUCUUAUAUGGCCUUUCUUGGCACACCUCUGUGCAUCAGUCCAUGUCCCUGGAGACUUGGCUGGCUCUAAGGGGAGCGACAAGAGGUGUGCGAGUUUGGCAGUCUCGACCUCUAGGUAGUGCUGCCAACCUUCCCUAUGCUGUGUUGGGCCACAGCCUGCUGGGCCUGGCCUAUGGCUCCCAAAGCUAGGGUUUGUAGGGCAACUUUCCCUAGAGAUUGAGUGAGGGCUUCUGUGGAAGCUAAUCCCUGAACUUCCCACACUGUAUCAGGUGCCUGCCUCUCUGCCGCUCACUCAUCUCUCUGGACCUGUCUGCCAACCCUGAAAUCAGCUGUGCCAGCCUGCAGGAGCUCCUGUCUGCCCUCCAGCAGAGGCCCCAAGGCCUCCACUUCCUUGGCCUUUCAGGUGAGGGCUGAGUAUGGUGGCCACCUCUGCCACGCUUUCACAGGCUGAGGCUCAGGGAACUUCUCCUAAGAAGCCAGUAUGAUGAAAGACAGUGUGGAGCAUGACAAGAAAGGGACAGGGGAGACUGGGGUCUUCGCCUCUGCCCAAUCCAGCCUAACCCUCAAGUGUAGACAAUAACAGAAAGGCUCCUCAUCCACAGGGAUCUCCUCAUUCUUGAUGGCAGGAAGAGGAAACCCAGGGUCCAGGUUCAGUGCCACAAUGGGACCCGCCCACCUUCUGGCAGGGGUUGCUUUGACCCUCUCUGUCCUGGCUGUGACAAUGUAGCUUAUUCUGCAACACCAGGGCAGCCCCCACCUGUGUUGUCUGAAGGACAACUCCAAAAGAGGGGCAUUUGGUGAACUGGCCCACCAGCAGCCUGGCAUCCCUAGCUGAGGCCUGGGCAGAAAGGCAGGCUUUGCCCUUCAGGGGACAUAGGCUUGUGCACAAGGGAACCCCUGAGUUCUUCCUGGGCUUUUCACUUCCUGCUUCCACACCUGGCUGGAUUCCUGGCACCUGCGACAUCACGCAGCUUCCCCAGGUUCUGAGGCUACUGGGCUUUCUGGCCAGAGGACCAAGCUCUGAGCCCUCAGGCCCACGACAUAGAGCUCUCCUAAAAAUUCAUUCUAUGGGUGGGUGGGCCAAAGUGUAGGCAUGCUGUACAGUCGGGGUGGGGGUGGGGGUGGCGUCCACCAGUGGGCCCAUCUGCCUGACCAUGGGCCAGGCACGGCUCCUUCCCGCGAUGAAGCAGGACUUUUUUGCCCUCCAGGCUGCACUGUCCAGGGUCCCCUGGGCCCGGGUCUCUGGGACAAAAUCACCAUGCAGCUGCGGGAGCUCCAACUAUGUAGCAGAGGCCUGUGUGCCGAGGACCACGAUGCCCUGCGCCAGCGGCUGCAGAGUCCCAGCUCAUGCACUCUGACCCGGGGCCCCCAGCUCUUCUUCCGGGACUUCUGACCCUGCCCGUCCCCUGCCCAGAAGCCUCAAUAAACGUCUUUGCUG